CGAUCAGUCCUCCUCUUACCACCGGUGCAUCCUUUGAUCGAACAGAUCAGACACCUUGAUCCAUCAGAUCAGACACCUUGAUCCAUCAUCUAUGGAUCAGGUCGUCCAUCCUUACCCAUGAUCAGAUCACACACGGCCUUCCUUGAAUAAUAACACCUAAGUUCAGUACUUAUGGUCCACACCAUCAAGUACUAGCUAUACUCUUAUUCAUGGCUUGCUGCUGGUUCCAAACAUAUUGGACCUUGAAAUCCACAUGGUUCCUCUAAUACCAGGACCCCCAUGUGUCUCUUCCAUGAGUCGGAUUAAUGGUUCACACAUGACCAAACCCAACAC
Molecule: long non-coding RNA, 333 nt
Filed under: Brassica napus (rape)
Lineage: Eukaryota; Viridiplantae; Streptophyta; Magnoliopsida; Brassicales; Brassicaceae
Description: long non-coding RNA (BNAP_LNC011778)
Source: RNAcentral